Chelonoidis abingdonii (Abingdon island giant tortoise) is the source of this 674-nucleotide non-coding RNA. Lineage: Eukaryota; Metazoa; Chordata; Testudines; Testudinidae. The record is from RefSeq and is a predicted model, not a curated record.
CUGUAAACUGUGGUCAACCAAGCUUGGAAGCACCUCAUGUAUAAUCGUGCAUUUUUGACCACGAAAGUGCACAAGGCCAUGUGACCUAAGAGUUAGACAGUCUCGAGCAGUGACAUGAGGAUUGUUGCGAAGUUUCGUGGCCAGGACUUUUAUGGUGUUGAAAUGGUCAGGCGGGAGAGAUGCUAUUCCCAUCUAGGAAUCGAGGUGUGCGCCUAUGAACUCUAGGUGUUGGGUAGGAGAUAAGGUGGAUUUGUUUUUGUUUAUUUGUAGGUCAACGGACAGGAAGCAAGUAACGGUGAAUCGAAGAGCUUUGUCAUAUGUUGAGGCUUUGAGGAGACAAUUAUCGAGGGGUUUGAAUUCCUAGGGACCAGAGAGUUGCCCUUGAGUCCUUCAUUGAAUGAAGUACAUCAUUCGUCAUGGAGGCAAAGAGUUUGUCGCCACUGAAGGGAAGAUCUUCAAUGGUACUCUGGACCUUUCGAGGAAAGGAAGAGGAGGAGAGCCCUGAACCUCAGCGCAUCACCACUGCUAUAGCAGUGGCUCUUGCUGCAGUAUUGGCUGCAUCAAGGGCUGCUUGAAGAGCGGUACAGGAGAUGAUUUGUCCCUCAGAAACUAGGGCUGUAAAUUGUUUAUUUUAUUCUGAAAUGUCGUCAAUAAAGUCCAUGAAUUUAUUGUAA